This 508-nucleotide ribosomal RNA is filed under the name Staphylococcus aureus. RNAcentral's name for it is "partial 23S ribosomal RNA". It matches the Rfam family "Bacterial large subunit ribosomal RNA", at positions 823 to 1335 of the family's 2925-position model. Lineage: Bacteria; Bacillati; Bacillota; Bacilli; Caryophanales; Staphylococcaceae. The record is from RNAcentral.
GAAAUUCCAAUCGAACCUGGAGAUAGCUGGUUCUCUCCGAAAUAGCUUUAGGGCUAGCCUCAAGUGAUGAUUAUUGGAGGUAGAGCACUGUUUGGACGAGGGGCCCCUCUCGGGUUACCGAAUUCAGACAAACUCCGAAUGCCAAUUAAUUUAACUUGGGAGUCAGAACAUGGGUGAUAAGGUCCGUGUUCGAAAGGGAAACAGCCCAGACCACCAGCUAAGGUCCCAAAAUAUAUGUUAAGUGGAAAAGGAUGUGGCGUUGCCCAGACAACUAGGAUGUUGGCUUAGAAGCAGCCAUCAUUUAAAGAGUGCGUAAUAGCUCACUAGUCGAGUGACACUGCGCCGAAAAUGUACCGGGGCUAAACAUAUUACCGAAGCUGUGGAUUGUCCUUUGGACAAUGGUAGGAGAGCGUUCUAAGGGCGUUGAAGCAUGAUCGUAAGGACAUGUGGAGCGCUUAGAAGUGAGAAUGCCGGUGUGAGUAGCGAAAGACGGGUGAGAAUCCCGUCC